GUGUCAGCCGCCGCGGUAAAACAUAGGGGGCAAGCGUUGUCCGGAAUCACUGGGCGUAAAGGGCGCGCAGGCGGUAAAUUAAGUCAGGUGUGAAAGUUCGGGGCUCAACCCCGUGAUUGCACCUGAUACUGAUAAACUAGAGUGUUGGAGAGGUAAGUGGAAUUCCUAGUGUAGCGGUGGAAUGCGUAGAUAUUAGGAGGAACACCAGUGGCGAAGGCGACUUACUGGCCAAUAACUGACGCUGAGGCGCGAAAGCGUGGGGAGCAAACAGGAUUAGAUACCCCAGUAGUCC
Molecule: ribosomal RNA, 292 nt
Filed under: uncultured Peptococcus sp.
Lineage: Bacteria; Bacillati; Bacillota; Clostridia; Eubacteriales; Peptococcaceae
Description: partial 16S ribosomal RNA
Rfam family: Bacterial small subunit ribosomal RNA
Source: RNAcentral